RNAcentral lists this long non-coding RNA (2783 nucleotides) under Sus scrofa (pig). RNAcentral describes it as "lncRNA (ENSSSCG00030044322.1)". The record is from RNAcentral. Lineage: Eukaryota; Metazoa; Chordata; Mammalia; Artiodactyla; Suidae.
GACAAUUGAUAUUGAAUGAAUGAAUGAAUGAAUGAAUGAAUAGGCUGGUGAUUAGCCAGAAAGACAAUUUCAUCUGCAAGCAAUUUCAUCUUCAUCAUCUUGUGGCGUGUGCAUCUUUGCGUGGUGUUGGUGGUGAUGGUUUGGGGCUGCUUAAUGCAAAGUGUCCCUGAAGGCAGUUGUUUAAAAAAAGAAGCAUCUCGGGAGUGAAAAUAAUAAUAUCUAGAAAUUCAUUGAGAACAAUGCCAGGCCUUGUUCUAGUUCUUUUACAUGAGUUAACUCUAUGAAUUUCUCAACUAUGCUUCAAGUGGGUACUAUUAUUAGUCCGGCGUUACAGGUGAGAAAAUAGAAGCGAUGCAUGAAAGGCAGUAAAGUAACUUUCCCAAGGUCGCAUGGCUAGUCCAAGACUCCUUUGGUCGUAGACUAGUUCUCCAUGAUAAAACCAUAGAUAGUUCUCCCUUUUAGCUGGAUGACUCUACCUCCUGAAGAAGGAUGCUAACUCCCAGUCAGGUGGCAGGGAGCGGAACGUGGCUCGUGGGCAAGGGUAGGCAGGGACAAAGAGAAGCGGGUUGCUUCUUCCCAAACUGCUCUCCUGAUGCCUCAUCAACCACCCUCCCUUUCCACCUCCUUCCAGGGUCUGCUCCGUCGUAGCCAUUCCCUCUGGGAUCGCAGUGCCAAAGCUUCCCCCUGCCCUGGAGAAGACGUAGCCCUGUGGCUCUGUUGAGUGCGUGACAUGGUCUUCACUGGCCUGAUGGGGUUUACAGGGUGAGGGCUGCUCACUAUACUACACUAUAUACUACACUGUGCGCUGUGCACUAGGACCAUAUACGCUCUACUGUAACAGAGCCAGGACCCACGGGGUGGCAAGGGUACAACUCCUUUGGGGCCCGAAGGUGAAAAUGAAGCCCCCCUCCCUGGGGGCUUUGGCCCCUCAAAUGAAGCAGCCGGAAGCCCAAACGCUUUCACUAAAUUCUGCCACAUGCUCGGCUGGGCGGUUCUGCGGUUCUCACUCAGGUGCCUGCGGCCAGGUGGGACAAGGCUCUGCUCCACACGUCUCUCCUCUUCUCCUGGGACCAGCAGACCAGCCCAGAUGUGCCCCACCCCUUUUAAUCACAGUAAAUAAAAUAAACAUAAAACUUAACAUUUGAAUCUUUUUUUUUUUGCUUUUUGGGGCUGCACUUGUAGCAUAUGGAAGUUCCCAGGCUAGGAGUCCAAUCGGAACUGUAGGUGCCAUCCUACACCACAGCCACAGGUCCAAGCCACAUCUGUGACCCACAACUCAGAAUGUUGCAGAUGUUUUACUUUCCUUCCUCUAAGCAUUGUCUUUUGUCAUAUUAUGUGUUGUGAUUUGUGUUGUGUGUGUGUAUCUGGUGUGUGUGUGUGAAAUUUGUCAUUUAAGACUGCUUCAAGUCUAUCAAAACCUUAAUUUUUUUUUUUUUUUCUUUUUAGGGCCGCACCCAUGGCAUAUGGAAGUUCCCAGGCUAGGGGACGCCACAGCCAUGGCAACGCAGGAUCCAAGUCGCCACAGCUACAACAACAUGGGAUCUGAGCCACUGUGACCUACACCACAGCUCACGGCGACGCUGUAUCCUUAACCCACUGAUUGGGGUCUUCAGGGAUUGAACUGCAUCCUCAUGGAUACUAAUUGGGUUGGUAAUGCACUGAGCCACAACAGGAACUCCUAAACCAUUUUUAAGGGUACAGUUCUGUGGCAAUAAGUGCAUUCCUAUCACUGGGUAACUAUUACAACAAUCGACUUCCAGAACUUUUUCAUCACUCCAUACAGAAAUUCGGUACCCAUGAGGCUACAACUCCCAAUCCCCCCUCCCUGAGCCCCUGGAAACCCUCAUUUUACUUUCUAUCUCCAUGAAUCUGUUGUACCUCAAACACAGGGAAUUGUACAAUAUUUGUUUUCUUGUGUGUGGCUGAUUUCACAUAGCAGAACAUCUUCAAGGUUCAUCCAUGUUGCAGCAUGUGUCAGAAUUUUACAUACACAUGCUUAACAUUAGUUUCUAAGGUUCGAUGCCAUAUGAUCCAGCGAUCCCACUCCUGGGCAUAUAUUCGGACAAAAGGUUCAUUGAAAAAGAUACAUGCACCACUAUGUUCAUUGCCGCGCUACUCACAAUAGCCAAGACAUGGAAACAACCUAAAUGUCCAUCAACAGAUGAUUGGAUUAAGAAGAUAUGAGAUAUAUAUACAUAUACAAUGGAAUACUACUCAGUCGUGAAAAAGAACAAAUUAAUGCCAUUUGAAGCAACAUGGCUGCAACAGGAGACACUCAUACUAAGUGAAGUCAGAAAGAGAAAGACAAAUACCAUAUCAUAUCACUUAUAUCUGGAAUCUAAUAUAUGGCACAAAUGAACCUAUCCACAGAAAAGAAACAAACACAUGGACUUGGAGAACAUACCUGUAGUUGCCAAGGGAGUUGCAUGGACUGGGAGUUUGGGGUGAGUAGAUGCAAACUAUUGCAUCUGGAGUGGAUAAGCAAUGAGAUCCUGCUGUACAGCACAGGGAACUGUAUCCAAUCACUUACGAUGGAACAAGAUGGAGGAUAAUGUGAGAAAAAGAAUGUAUAUAUGUAUGUGUGACUAGGUCAUUUUGCUGUACAGUCGAACAUUGACAGGACACUGUACACCAACUAUAAUGGAAAAAAUACAAAUCAUUUUUUUAGAAAGAAUGUAUGUACAUAUUUAUGACUGGGUCCCUUUGCUCUACAGCAGAAACUGACAGAACACUGUAAAUCAAAUCUAGUAUAAAAAAUAAAAAUUAAAAAAAAAUAAAGCUCA